RNA transcript from Salvia miltiorrhiza (redroot sage), 1438 nucleotides. RefSeq lists it as uncharacterized. The record is from RefSeq and is a predicted model, not a curated record. NCBI's taxonomy places the organism in Eukaryota, Viridiplantae, Streptophyta, Magnoliopsida, Lamiales, Lamiaceae. The transcript is spliced from 4 exons.
CCGCCGUAAAACCUUGGAGAAUCAAUGGGUUGCUCCGGUGUUCCGACAGCAGUGUUUACUGAGACAAACCUGGGCACCUGCCUCGCCGUUCCGGCUUCUCCGGACAUCACGGCCGACGACUUCAAGAGAUUUUCCAGGAAUUUCUCUAUGGAAACUGGUUUUGAUGUCGUGAACUGAGAAUGUUGCUGGAUAAUACAUUGGUUUUGCCCCUUGUUUUUAUCAUUUAGGAAUAAAAAGAAGCGCGCACUUCAUAUAAUAAUGUGUGCGUGAGAACAGUUAGCUGAGUAGCUAUCUAUAUGCUCGAUGAUGAUAUGUUGUACUACUCGCAGGAGAGGUGGAAAGGGCGCAUCUCAAUUGUUUCCCCGAAUUCGGAACUAUCAGGGUCAAAGCAGUGAUGGUGACGCAAAAAUUACAACGUUAUCACUUAUCGGGGUCUUUGCCUCUCAAGUAUGCUUUUCUGGGUUCAAAUGUUACUUGGUUUCUUCAAACACACGUUAUUUUAUCAAAUGUUCCUACUCAUGUAGAGUCACUGAGACACAAUGGAGCCGAAGUUUGCAAUCUGAAUUCUGCUGCUGAUGUGAUUACUAACUUAGUUGAGCUGGGAAGCGCUUCCCCUGAGAAGAGAACAAAAUGCAAAAGAAAGAUUAAGGUAGGAAGAUUUCUGAAGAUUUCUACAGCUUUGUGUUUCCGUAGAAAGUGGAAAAGGAAAAAUGCGAAGAAAAGCCUGAAACGAGACACCCAAUACUAGGGCGUACACAGCCUUGUCUUGUUGAAAAGGAAAUGUUGUGUGAAUUUGCUACUGAAGCUGAAGUGAAUUCGGAGUCCAAUGUGAUUGGUGAGGCCACGGGUGAAACGAUUUCAGUGUCAGGGAUUAUCAACAAGUACUUUUCAGAUUAUGAUGAAGUGGCCUCCAAUCCAAAAUCUCUUUCUACCACAGCACGAUAUAGAUGCUGGAAGCAGCGCAGCAGAUGUGAAUACCGGUCUAGCAUAGUGAAGUCGCCCGUAUAUCCUCCCAGUUCUGAAAAGCAUAAAACACCAAACAUUGGAAAGGGUCUUUUGGUUGCAUCAGCUAGUCUGGGGCUGGCUCCAAGUAAUGGACGUUCCAUACUUUCUCUGUACCGUCACAAUCAUGGAGAGUCGAUGUUCCAUGAAUUCUCAGCUGCAGUGUUUGAGAUGGCAGACGAAUAACUGUAAAGUACAACUCUUUUGUUUGUUUCAAGGUACAUACAACUUCAAGUAUCAACAAGCAUCUUUCACAAAUGAAAAGUUGUGUUUAUGCUCACACCUACAUUUUUAUGUUUGUCUCACACAAGUUGGCAUUCACUUUUGAGAAUGACUCAACUGAAUGAAGAAUGUUGUAUUCUUGUCAUGCUAUUGUGACUUGCCCUCUAAGAAAGGCAUACAUUUUUGCUUUUGGAACGCAAGUCAUUUUUAUUUU